GACCAAGUCCUGUGUGGCUAAGACAAGCCCAAUUCCGUCAGGUCCGGAAGGAAGCAGCGGUUAGUUUGCUCUUAGGGUACAUCAGUACUUGGUCUCU
RNAcentral lists this signal recognition particle RNA (97 nucleotides) under Desulfobulbaceae bacterium. RNAcentral's name for it is "Bacterial small signal recognition particle RNA". It matches the Rfam family "Bacterial small signal recognition particle RNA". Rfam says of the family: The signal recognition particle (SRP) is a universally conserved ribonucleoprotein involved in the co-translational targeting of proteins to membranes. Archaeal SRP consists of a 7S RNA and homologues of the eukaryotic SRP19 and SRP54 proteins. In most bacteria, the SRP consists of a 4.5S RNA and the Ffh protein (a homologue of the eukaryotic SRP54 protein). The record is from Rfam by way of RNAcentral. Lineage: Bacteria; Pseudomonadati; Thermodesulfobacteriota; Desulfobulbia; Desulfobulbales; Desulfobulbaceae. RNAcentral also lists the same sequence under 1 other name.